CCUACGGGAGGCAGCAGUGGGGAAUAUUGGGCAAUGGAGGCAACUCUUACCCAGCAAUGCCGCGUGAAUGAAGAAGGUCUUCGGAUUGUAAAGUUCUUUAAUUGGGGACGAAAAAAAUGACGGUAGCCAAGGAAUAAGCCCCGGCUAACUACGAGCCAGCAGCCGCGGUAAUACGUAGGGGGCAAGCGUUGUUCGGAAUGACUGGGCGUAAAGGGUGUGUAGGCGGUGUAGCAAGUUAGAAGGGAAAUACCUAGGGCUUAACUCAGGUGCUGCUUCUAAAACUGCUUUACUUGAGUGCAGUAGAGGAAAGUGGAAUUCCUAGUGUAGCGGUGGAAUGCGUAGAUAUUAGGAGGAACAUCAGUGGCGAAGGCGACUUUCUAGACUGUAACUGACGCUGAGGCACGAAAGUGUGGGGAGCAAACAGGAUUAGAUACCCGAGUAGUC
RNAcentral lists this ribosomal RNA (444 nucleotides) under uncultured bacterium. RNAcentral describes it as "partial 16S ribosomal RNA". It matches the Rfam family "Bacterial small subunit ribosomal RNA", at positions 338 to 795 of the family's 1533-position model. The record is from RNAcentral.